ACCUUAACUUUCACAAAAGCGUCACUGUAGGUCAGACAGGCUUUAUUUUGACAAAACAAAUAAUCUUGCGUUUCACAGCUGACAUCGAAAAAAAUUAAGUCGUAAUACAAGUUGAAUUAUAAAUUUAAAAUAAAGAAACAAAAUGACUUCGACAAUGAAAUCAUUUAAAGAAAGGCGAACCUAUGCACAACGUGUAGCUGAUGUAGAGCUCAUAAAGAAACAACAUCCAAACAAAGUUCCUAUAAUUGUUGAGAGAUAUUAUGCAGAAAAAUUAUUGCCACUUUUGGAUAAAUCGAAAUUUCUAGUUCCUGAUCAUCUACCAGUUGCAGAACUGAUUAAAAUUAUAAGACGUCGAUUGCAACUAAAUCCAACACAAGCAUUCUUUUUAUUGGUGAAUCAAAGGUGUAUGGCUAGUGGUAGUAUGACUAUGGCUCAACUUUAUCAACGCGAAAAAGAUGAAGAUGGCUUUCUUUAUAUCGUGUUUGCGAGUCAAGAAGUUUUUGGCCACUUAGAGUAAGAAUUUUUCCCUUUUUAUUAAAGAUAAUUGUACAGCUUUUUAAAUUUAAUUAAAUAUUUUGUUUUCUGUCUAAUAACGUCAGAAUUUCUGGGUGUUAAAACUAUUACAAGUUUUGCUUGUAAAUAAAUGGUAAAUCCACAAUAUUAGAAGUUGGAGGAAUUUGUUAUAUCAAGAAAAAAAAAGCCUUCUUCAGAGACAUCGUGCAAUUUCCAAUUAAAUUGAUUGCAGGAAAUAAUAAUUGUUCUUCAUGAAAUAACUACUGAAAAAAUAAGUUUUUUUUUUUAGGAAAAUUUGAUUUUAAGAUAAUAGAGAGAAAGAAAGGAAGAGAGAGAAAAUGAAACUGUGAAUUAUCAAGCUCGUGUAUCUAUAAAAAAAAAUUAGAUAUACCAAAACCUAACUAUGACUAUGAAUGUUUAACUUUAAAGACGAUAUUACAUUCUAAGAUUUUAGGAUAGAAAAAAAUAGUGAAAUAUUUGCGUGACUUAUAAGUCGUAUUGUAUAUAAAGAUGUCCUCUUUAAAAAAAAAAAAAUUUUAAUCAGCACAAACUGAGAAAAAUGCAAAAAAUACAGAUUAAUCACAAAAGUCAUGUCAUUUCCAAAAUAUAAAUUUUAAAAGUGAGAUUUCAAGACACGUAAUGUACCUGAUAAACAGUCAUUGUUUUUUUUUCGUUCCAAAGUAUAUAUAUAUAUAUAUAGCAUAUAUAUGUGUGAAAACUACUAGUAGUUUUAAUCUCUGAUCUGAAAAUGCGAUAUUUGCUCCUUUUUCAAGGAUAUUUAGAUAAUUUCAAAAAAAAAAAUUUAAAUAAACUGAAAAAAAAGAGUUGAGAAAUAAUUUACGAUUUUUUAUCCCAAUGUAUAUUUAAUUCAUACUGUGUAAAAAGUUUUCUUCUCUUUUUCAAAUGUAUGUAGUUUAAUAUAUAUGCAGAGGACACAAAUCUAUAUGAUAAUAUUAUAAGUGAGCAUUAUCUUACGAAUUAUAAAUUCGUAGAAUUUAAUUUUUUAUUUAAAAAUUUUUUUUUCAUAAAUUUCGAAUUUAAUUUUAGUUCUCAACGAUUAUAUAUAUAUACAAUUUUCUCUAUAAAUAUUUGUGAGCAAAAUAAUUUUGUGAUGUUACAUUAUAUUUUUAACUUUAUUUUUAGUUUUCGUUUAUAUAAUAUUUGACAAAAAAAAAAAAAAAAAAUGAUACUUUUAAUUUAUUAUAUUGACAAUGUAAAACAUAUUGUGCGAAAAAUGAGUCAUUUUCUAUAUAUAUAUGAAUCGAAUUCUGAACAGAAAGUGUAUAUUUUUUUAUUGCGAAAAAAAGUACACAUUAUUGUCACCGAUAUAAUUGCGUAUAAUUCAGAAAUAAAAUAGAAAAUGAAUAUAUAAAUAUAGAAUUUUUUUUUCAUAUUCUAUUAUAAAAUAGAUCUAUUUAUUAGUACAUUUAAUUUUUAAUGACAAUAUAUAAUAAAUAAAAAGUG
RNA transcript from Leptopilina boulardi, 1977 nucleotides. It is a transcript of the gene named microtubule-associated proteins 1A/1B light chain 3A-like, with no coding region annotated. The transcript is spliced from 5 exons. Lineage: Eukaryota; Metazoa; Arthropoda; Insecta; Hymenoptera; Figitidae. The record is from RefSeq and is a predicted model, not a curated record.